GAUGGCGACCGGCGCACGGGUGAGUAACACGUAUCCAACCUGCCGAUAACUCGGGGAUAGCCUUUCGAAAGAAAGAUUAAUACCCGAUGGYAUAAUCAGACCGCAUGGUCUURUUAUUAAAGAAUUUCGGUUAUCGAUGGGGAUGCGUUCCAUUAGGCAGUUGGUGAGGUAACGGCUCACCAAACCUUCGAUGGAUAGGGGUUCUGAGAGGAAGGUCCCCCACAUUGGAACUGAGACACGGUCCAAACUCCUACGGGAGGCAGCAGUGAGGAAUAUUGGUCAAUGGGCGCAGGCCUGAACCAGCCAAGUAGCGUGAAGGAUGACUGCCCUAUGGGUUGUAAACUUCUUUUAUAUGGGAAUAAAGUUUUCCACGUGUGGAAUUUUGUAUGUACCAUAUGAAUAAGGAUCGGCUAACUCCGUGCCAGCAGCCGCGGUAAUACGGAGGAUCCGAGCGUUAUCCGGAUUUAUUGGGUUUAAAGGGAGCGUAGGUGGACAGUUAAGUCAGUUGUGAAAGUUUGCGGCUCAACCGUAAAAUUGCAGUUGAUACUGGCUGUCUUGAGUACAGUAGAGGUGGGCGGAAUUCGUGGUGUAGCGGUGAAAUGCUUAGAUAUCACGAAGAACUCCGAUU
This 628-nucleotide ribosomal RNA is filed under the name uncultured Bacteroidales bacterium. RNAcentral's name for it is "bacterial SSU rRNA". It matches the Rfam family "Bacterial small subunit ribosomal RNA", at positions 87 to 714 of the family's 1533-position model. The record is from RNAcentral. Lineage: Bacteria; Pseudomonadati; Bacteroidota; Bacteroidia; Bacteroidales.